Long non-coding RNA from Poeciliopsis prolifica (blackstripe livebearer), 305 nucleotides. RefSeq lists it as uncharacterized. NCBI's taxonomy places the organism in Eukaryota, Metazoa, Chordata, Actinopteri, Cyprinodontiformes, Poeciliidae. The transcript has 2 exons. The record is from RefSeq and is a predicted model, not a curated record.
UUCCCUGAGUGGGCCGUCUGCCCCGGAACCCUUAGCCUCCAGAUUUACUCGGUCGCCUCGGACGCCUCUCCAGGAAAGCAGGACUCCCUGACCGAGCUUGGAUCCACCUGGAGGUGCCUUGGCCUGGGCCUUGACGAAUCUCGUUCUGAUCGCUCUACCUGUCCGGCCUCCCACCAGCCCAGUUCUCCAGUGCUCUGCCAGCCGUCAUACUCACACCCUCCAAAUCUGACGAACCGGUGACCCGUUCCAGAAACCAUCCCUCUUUCCUUUUCCCUCAAACUCAAUAAAUCAUCAUUGUUCAUUAA